UGGGGAAUCUUGCGCAAUGGACGAAAGUCUGACGCAGCGACGCCGCGUGGGGGAUGACGGGUUUCGGCUUGUAAACCCCUGUUGCCCGGGACGAACUUCUGGUUUCGACCAGAUUGACGGUACCGGGUGAGGAAGCACCGGCUAACUCCGUGCCAGCAGCCGCGGUAAUACGGAGGGUGCGAGCGUUGUCCGGAAUCACUGGGCGUAAAGGGCGCGUAGGUGGCGACGCAAGUCAACGGUGAAAGCUCGACGCUCAACGUCGAGUCGGCCGUCGAUACUGCAUCGCUGGAGCACUGUAGAGGCAGAUGGAAUUCCGGGUGUAGCGGUGGAAUGCGUAGAGAUCCGGAAGAACACCGGUGGCGAAGGCGGUCUGCUGGGCAGUUGCUGACACUGAGGCGCGACAGCGUGGGGAGCAAACA
RNAcentral lists this ribosomal RNA (419 nucleotides) under uncultured Gemmatimonas sp. Its description in RNAcentral is "bacterial SSU rRNA". It matches the Rfam family "Bacterial small subunit ribosomal RNA", at positions 355 to 774 of the family's 1533-position model. Lineage: Bacteria; Pseudomonadati; Gemmatimonadota; Gemmatimonadia; Gemmatimonadales; Gemmatimonadaceae. The record is from RNAcentral.